GUGCUUAUGCCCGUAUGUGACCAUGCCGGUAUCUGACCGCCUGACGUCACGAAGACCGAGUGAUCUUACCAUUUUGAACAAGCGAGACUACAAUUGUUGAGAGGACAAAAAGCCGGAGUCGACGAAUGCUACUGUAGAGUUUCACUGCUGUCGAGAAAGACACGGUGGCAACAACGAAACGCCAUGCAAAGAAAAGGCUGUGACGACAACGUGCGAAACGUCACUAUCCGUUUCCGAUGACUACAUAUGCUUUCUUGUAUUUCCUCAAGCUGGCAUUUUAGAAUCUCAUUGACUUACAGUAGGCUUUCUGCUUCGUCCUGUUUCCUACACAUGUUUAGCACGAAAUUAUCGAUUGGAGUGUCACAUGA
Molecule: long non-coding RNA, 368 nt
Organism: Corticium candelabrum
Lineage: Eukaryota; Metazoa; Porifera; Homoscleromorpha; Homosclerophorida; Plakinidae
Exons: 3
Source: RefSeq, a predicted model, not a curated record